This 980-nucleotide long non-coding RNA is filed under the name Olea europaea (common olive). RNAcentral describes it as "long non-coding RNA (OEUR_LNC008998)". Lineage: Eukaryota; Viridiplantae; Streptophyta; Magnoliopsida; Lamiales; Oleaceae. The record is from RNAcentral.
GGGGGGUGGGGGUGUUGGAAUUCAUAAUGGAUACUAUGAUAUUCAGGCAUAUUUCCAACAAAAAAGAGAUCAAAAUGUAAAUUCACAAGUAGUCUGCUCAAGUCAAAGAGAUUCAAUCAAGAAAGAAAAAAAUACUCCUAAAAUGUAUUACAGAAUUAAAAAAUAAAUAAAUAAAUAAAUACGAAGAAGGCCAUAUAUAGUCAAAGGGCAGCUAAAACCAGAAACUCUAAAGGUAAAAAGUAAUGUGAACAUUAGAACAUGAACAAUUUUCUUAAAAAUGUUAAUUUUUAAUUCUUUAUUAAACCGGAACCGAAAUUGUUGAUUAAGAAUCAAGAAAUUAAUCAAAUAGGGUUCUUCCAUAAACGCAAGCUAAAAACUUUCUUACCAUUUCAUAUCACUCUUUUUCAAAAGAGAAGAAAACACUCAAUUGAAAACACUAAAUUGUAUUAAAAGAUAGUAAUCCACAAUCAUUUAAGGAAAUAAUAAUCAGGGUAUGACGGAGAGCUCCUCUUACUAACCUUAUAAAAUUGAACUCAAGAAUCGAUAUCAGAGCUCUAAUUGCUUGUUUAACAAUUCGAUUAGUCUAGAGAUCAGACGCGUAAUUGAACCCGACUGCAAUUGAAAGAUCAAUCAGAUUUCAAGACGAUAUUCUCGUAUCCACUACCUUUCUUUUUCCUUUUUUCUGCGCAGCAACAAAUUCACGAAAAUAAUAAAGCUCCAAAAAACAGAAACCAAGAAUGAGAUCUCUAUAAAGACUUUAAUAUCCGCACCCACACGAUUUAUUGUGGCCCAAAUCAAGAAUCAGUGACCCCAGUCUUUGGAUUUUCUGUGAUCAGUUGUAUGCGGAAGUUUUUUUUGUGGAAUACAAGGCUGAGGAUUUUCUGUGCAGUCCAAUAAAAAUCUAGAAUUUUUUAUUUGGUCGUUGAAUAUUCCAAAAAAAAACAUAGGCAUAGAUAUUAUAUUUUAUUUUUGUAAAAGAG